RNAcentral lists this ribosomal RNA (373 nucleotides) under uncultured bacterium. RNAcentral's name for it is "bacterial SSU rRNA". It matches the Rfam family "Bacterial small subunit ribosomal RNA", at positions 28 to 404 of the family's 1533-position model. The record is from RNAcentral.
GACGAACGCUGGCGGCGUGCUUAACACAUGCAAGUCGAGCGGUAAGGCCCUUUCGGGGGUACACGAGCGGCGAACGGGUGAGUAACACGUGGGUGACCUGCCUUUAGCUCUGGGAUAAGCCUGGGAAACCGGGUCUAAUACCGGAUAUGACUCCGCGGCGCAUGUUGUGGGGUGGAAAGCCUUGUGCGGCUGGAGAUGGGCCCGCGGCCUAUCAGCUUGUUGGUGGGGUGAUGGCCUACCAAGGCGACGACGGUAGCCGGCCUGAGAGGGCGACCGGCCACACUGGGACUGAGACACGGCCCAGACUCCUACGGGAGGCAGCAGUGGGGAAUCUUGCGCAAUGGCGAAAGCCUGACGCAGCGACGCCGCGUGA